GCAUGUGAGGUCAAUGUGCCUGUGAUUUUAUCGCCCUUUGCUCUCUGCUAAGCUGGAGAAGCAGGUAUCACCUUUCUCCCUCAUACCUCCAUGUGCAUCCCUCCUGAGUCUGUGCACUCAAUCAAGAGGUUGGCCCUCACCGAUAGAAGAGAGCCGACAUUCUUUCUCCUCAGCUAGAGUCUCCAAACAAACUCUUGCAAGUAGCCAUAAAAAUGGCUGGGCAGUGUAAUACCUGCAACCUACAUGCAGCCUCCACCUUCAAACAUGGAUCUCU
This 274-nucleotide small nuclear RNA is filed under the name Rattus norvegicus (Norway rat). RNAcentral's name for it is "7SK RNA". It matches the Rfam family "7SK RNA". Rfam says of the family: 7SK was discovered as an abundant small nuclear RNA in the mid-70s but a possible function has only recently been suggested. Two independent studies have found that 7SK RNA binds the CDK9/cyclin T complex (known as elongation factor P-TEFb). P-TEFb activates transcription by phosphorylating the C-terminal domain of RNA polymerase II. The record is from Rfam by way of RNAcentral. Lineage: Eukaryota; Metazoa; Chordata; Mammalia; Rodentia; Muridae.